Molecule: ribosomal RNA, 253 nt
Filed under: uncultured bacterium
Lineage: Bacteria
Description: partial 16S ribosomal RNA
Rfam family: Bacterial small subunit ribosomal RNA
Source: RNAcentral
UACGUAGGGGGCGAGCGUUAUCCGGAUUCAUUGGGCGUAAAGCGCGCGUAGGCGGUCCGGUAAGUCGGAUGUGAAAUCCCAGGGCUCAACCCUGGAACUGCACCCGAUACUGCCGGACUUGAGGUAGGUAGAGGAAGGUGGAAUUUCCGGUGUAGCGGUGGAAUGCGCAGAUAUCGGAAGGAACACCGAUGGCGAAGGCAGCCUUCUGGGCCUGACCUGACGCUGAGACGCGAAAGCAUGGGUAGCGAACAGG